Molecule: ribosomal RNA, 433 nt
Filed under: uncultured bacterium
Lineage: Bacteria
Description: partial 16S ribosomal RNA
Rfam family: Bacterial small subunit ribosomal RNA
Source: RNAcentral
AACGAACGCUGGCGGCAUGCCUAACACAUGCAAGUCGAACGAGACCUUCGGGUCUAGUGGCGCACGGGUGCGUAACGCGUGGGAACCUGCACUUAGGUUCGGAAUAACUCCCCGACAGGGGUGCUAAUACCGGAUAAUGUCUUCGGACCAAAGAUUUAUCGACUUUGGAGGGGCCCGCGUGGGAUUAGCUCGUUGGGAGGGUAAAAGCCUACCAAGGCGACGAUCCAUAGCUGGUCUGAGAGGAUGGUCAGCCACACUGGGACUGAGACACGGCCCAGAAUCUUACGGGAGGGAGCAGUGGGGAACAGUGCACAGCGGGCGAAAUGCUGAUCCAGCUAUGCCGGGUGAGCUAUGUAGGCCUUAGGGUUGUAAAGCGCUUUUAACCGGGAUGAUAAUGACAGUACCGGGAGAAUAAGCCCCGGCUAACUACGUG